UGACAGGCAACGCAUAAGAUGGGUCGGCGGCCGAUUAGGCUGUUGGCGGGGUAAUGGCCCACCAAACCAAAGAUCCAUACGGGCCUUGAGAGAGGUAGCCCGGAGAGGGACACUGAGAUACUGGUCCCAGCCCUACGGGGUGCAGCAGGCGCGAAACCUUUACAAUGCACGCAAGUGUGAUAAGGGAACCCUAAGUGCUCAUGAAAUGCAUAGGUUUUUGCCAAGGUUAAAACUCUUAGCGAAUAAGUGGUGGGAAAGACUUGUGCCAGCCGCCGCGGUAACACCAGCGCCACAAGUGGCAACCGCUUUUAUUUGGCCUAAAGCGUCCGUAGCCGGUUUAGUAAAUUUCCUGUGAAAUCGUUGCGCUUAACGUAACGGCGUGCAGGAAAGACUGCUAAACUUGGGACCGGGAGGCGUCAGAGGUAUUCCUGAGGGAGCGGUAAAAUGCUAUAAUCUUAGGAAGACCCCCUGUGGCGAAGGCGUCUGACGAGAACGGAUCCAACGGUGAGGGACGAAAGCUAGGGGAGCAAACCGGAUUAGAUACCCGAGUAGUCCUAGCUGUAAACUCUGCGAGCUAGGUGUUGCGUAUUCUCCGUGAAUAUGCAGUGUCGUAGCGAAGGUGGUUAAGCUCGCCGCCUGGGAAGUAUGGUCGCAAGGCUGAAACUUAAAGGAAUUGGCGGGGGAGCACUACAAAGGGUGCGGCGUGCGGUUUAAUCUAACUCAACGCAGAGAAUCUCACCAGAAGCGACGGCAGAAUGAAAGUCAGAUUAAAGGUUUUACUUGACGAGCCGAGAGGUAGUGCAUGGCCGCCGUCAGCUCGUUCCGUAAGGUGUCCUGUUAAGUCAGGCAACGAGCGAGACCUGUACCUACAAUUGCCAGCGACAGAUUUCUGGAUCGGGCACAUUGUAGGAACUGCCGUGGUAACACAGAGGAAGGUGCAGGCUACGGUAGGUCUGUAUGCCCCGAAUCUCAUGGGCUACACGCGCGCAACAAUGGUAGGGACAAUGGGACGCGACUCCGAAAGGAGAAGCUAAACCUCGAAACCCUAUCUUAGUACAGAUUGAGGCUUGUAACUCAGCCUCAUGACGACGGAAUCCCUAGUAAUCAGAAGUUAUCAACUUCUGGUGAAUACGUCCCUGCUCCUUGCACACACCGCCCGUCAAACCAACCGAGCAGGGUAUGGAUGAGGACUAGUUUCCGGAUUAGUUCGAAUUCGAG
RNAcentral lists this ribosomal RNA (1218 nucleotides) under uncultured prokaryote. Its description in RNAcentral is "partial 16S ribosomal RNA". It matches the Rfam family "Archaeal small subunit ribosomal RNA", at positions 187 to 1413 of the family's 1478-position model. The record is from RNAcentral.